This 399-nucleotide ribosomal RNA is filed under the name uncultured Spirochaeta sp. RNAcentral describes it as "bacterial SSU rRNA". It matches the Rfam family "Bacterial small subunit ribosomal RNA", at positions 981 to 1382 of the family's 1533-position model. Lineage: Bacteria; Pseudomonadati; Spirochaetota; Spirochaetia; Spirochaetales; Spirochaetaceae. The record is from RNAcentral.
UUGACAUAUACAGGAAUGUUGUAGAGAUACAGCAGCCGCUUGCGGUCUGUAUACAGGUGCUGCAUGGCUGUCGUCAGCUCGUGCUGUGAAGUGUUGGGUUAAGUCCCGCAACGAGCGCAACCCUAUCAUCUGUUGCCAGCAUUUAAGGUGGGGACUCAGAUGAGACUGCCGGUGACAAACCGGAGGAAGGUGGGGACGACGUCAAGUCAUCAUGGCCCUUAUGUCCUGGGCUACACACGUGCUACAAUGGCCGGUACAGAGUGAAGCGAAACCGCGAGGUGAAGCAAAACGCAGAAAGCCGGUCUCAGUACGGAUUGGAGUCUGAAACUCGACUUCAUGAAGUUGGAAUCGCUAGUAAUCGCGCAUCAGCAUGGCGCGGUGAAUACGUUCCCGGGCCUU